This 250-nucleotide ribosomal RNA is filed under the name uncultured bacterium. Its description in RNAcentral is "partial 16S ribosomal RNA". It matches the Rfam family "Bacterial small subunit ribosomal RNA", at positions 334 to 600 of the family's 1533-position model. The record is from RNAcentral.
AUCACCUACGGGGGGCAGCAGUGGGGGAUAUUGCACAAUGGGGGGAACCCUGAUGCAGCGACGCCGCGUGGGUGAAGGAGUGCUUCGGCAUGUAAAGCCCUAUCGGCAGGGAAGAAGCAAGACGGUACCUGACUAAGAAGCCCCGGCUAACUACGGGCCAGCAGCCGCGGGAAUACGUAGGGGGCGAGCGUUAUCCGGAUUCACUGGGUGGAAAGGGAGCGUAGACGGCCAAGCAAGCCAGGGGUGAAAG